Molecule: ribosomal RNA, 253 nt
Filed under: uncultured bacterium
Lineage: Bacteria
Description: partial 16S ribosomal RNA
Rfam family: Bacterial small subunit ribosomal RNA
Source: RNAcentral
UACGUAGGGGGCGAGCGUUGUCCGGAAUUAUUGGGCGUAAAGGGCGCGUAGGCGGGUACUUAAGUCCGGUGUGAAAGAUCAGGGCUCAACCCUGAGAGUGCAUCGGAAACUGGGUAUCUUGAGGACAGGAGAGGAAAGUGGAAUUCCACGUGUAGCGGUGAAAUGCGUAGAUAUGUGGAGGAACACCGGUGGCGAAGGCGACUUUCUGGACUGUAACUGACGCUGAGGCGCGAAAGCGUGGGGAGCAAACAGG